CCUACGGGAGGCAGCAGUGAGGAAUAUUGGGCAAUGGGGGCAACCCUGACCCAGCCAUGCCGCGUGAGUGAAGAAGGUCUUCGGAUUGUAAAGCUCUUUCGGACGUGACGAUGAUGACGGUAGCGUCUAAAGAAGCACCGGCAAACUUCGUGCCAGCAGCCGCGGUAAUACGAAGGGUGCGAGCGUUGUUCGGAAUUACUGGGCGUAAAGGGAGUGUAGGCGGAUAUGUAAGAUAGCGGUGAAAUGCCGGGGCUCAACCCCUUCCCGCCAUUGAAACUGGCGUUCUUGAGUGGAAGAGAAGUAUGCGGAAUGCGUGGUGUAGCGGUGAAAUGCAUAGAUAUCACGCAGAACCCCGAUUGCGAAGGCAGCAUGCCGGCUUCCGACUGACGCUGAAGCACGAAAGCGUGGGGAUCGAACAGGAUUAGAUACCCCUGUAGUC
RNAcentral lists this ribosomal RNA (439 nucleotides) under uncultured bacterium. RNAcentral's name for it is "partial 16S ribosomal RNA". It matches the Rfam family "Bacterial small subunit ribosomal RNA", at positions 338 to 795 of the family's 1533-position model. The record is from RNAcentral.